This 464-nucleotide ribosomal RNA is filed under the name bacterium YSB3007. RNAcentral's name for it is "bacterial SSU rRNA". It matches the Rfam family "Bacterial small subunit ribosomal RNA", at positions 28 to 463 of the family's 1533-position model. The record is from RNAcentral.
GACGAACGCUGGCGGCGUGCCUAACACAUGCAAGUCGAGCGGAGACAUAUUUUGAAGAGGAAGUUUUUGGAUGGAAUUGGAAAGAUAUGUUUUAGCGGCGGACGGGUGAGUAACGCGUGAGCAAUCUGUCCUUCACAGGGGGAUAACACAGCGAAAGUUGUACUAAUACCGCAUAAGACCACAGAGUCACAUGACACAGGGGUCAAAGGAGCAAUCCGGUGAAGGGUGAGCUCGCGUCCGAUUAGAUAGUUGGUGAGGUAACGGCCCACCAAGUCGACGAUCGGUAGCCGACCUGAGAGGGUGAUCGGCCACAUUGGGACUGAGACACGGCCCAAACUCCUACGGGAGGCAGCAGUGGGGAAUAUUGGGCAAUGGGGGGAACCCUGACCCAGCAACGCCGCGUGAGGGAAGAAGGUUUUCGGAUCGUAAACCUCUGUCCUUGGUGAAGAGAAAGAGAUCGUGCC